RNAcentral lists this ribosomal RNA (449 nucleotides) under uncultured bacterium. Its description in RNAcentral is "partial 16S ribosomal RNA". It matches the Rfam family "Bacterial small subunit ribosomal RNA", at positions 29 to 523 of the family's 1533-position model. The record is from RNAcentral.
AACGAACGCUGGCGGCAGGCUUAACACAUGCAAGUCGAACGAGAUCUUCGGAUCUAGUGGCAGACGGGUGAGGAACACGUGGGAACAUCCCUUUCAGUUCGGAAUAACGUUGGGAAACUAACGCUAAUACUGGAUACGUCCUUCGGGAGAAAGAUUUAUCGCUGAAAGAUUGGCCCGCGUCUGAUUAGCUAGUUGGUGGGGUAAUGGCUCACCAAGGCUACGACCCGUAGCUGAUCUGAGAGGAUGAUCAGCCACAUUGGGACUGAGACACGGCCCAACCUCCUACGGGAGGCAGCCGUGGGGAAUAUUGGACAAUGGGCGAAAGCCUGAUCCAGCCAUGCCGCGUGAGUGAUGACGGCCUUCGGGUUGUAAGGCUCUUUUGUCCGGGAAGAUAAUGACUGUCCCGGAAGAAUAAGCCCCGGCAGACUUCGUGCCAGCAGCCGCCGUAA